Molecule: long non-coding RNA, 343 nt
Organism: Colletes gigas
Lineage: Eukaryota; Metazoa; Arthropoda; Insecta; Hymenoptera; Colletidae
Exons: 3
Source: RefSeq, a predicted model, not a curated record
CUGAAAACGUUGGUACUUUCUACGGUGUACGUCCAAUGCAGUUAAGAAUAAUAUUUUUGCCGAUAAAAUUAGAAUUUAACCAGAAUUUUGUAACAGUAGAAUAAACAUUUCAACCUUUGACGUAUAAAACAUCUUAUACGUGUAAUAAAGAAGUGUCGUCAAAGAAUACAAAAAUAAUCGUGACGGAUCGAUUCGGAGUAAAAGUGAUACACGGAAUUAUACGUUAACCUUUAGUUGUACAUACCUGUAAGUGUAAUAAUCAAUGAUAACAAUGUUUAAGUUUUUGAUAACCUUGGGCAUUGGAGUUUAUGCUGGUAUGUACAUAAGCCAAAAUUAUGAGGUA